RNAcentral lists this ribosomal RNA (266 nucleotides) under uncultured Planctomycetota bacterium. RNAcentral describes it as "uncultured planctomycete partial 16S ribosomal RNA". It matches the Rfam family "Bacterial small subunit ribosomal RNA", at positions 565 to 829 of the family's 1533-position model. Lineage: Bacteria; Pseudomonadati; Planctomycetota. The record is from RNAcentral.
GAGCACGUAGGUGGGUUUGUAAGUCAGACGUGAAAGCCUUCUGUUCAACGGAAGAAUUGCAUCUGAAACUACAAACCUUGAGUGUAGGAGGGGAGAAUGGAACUUCUGGUGGAGCGGUGAAAUGCGUAGAUAUCAGAAGGAACGCCGGCGGCGAAAGCGAUUCUCUGGCCUAUUACUGACACUCAGUGUGCGAAAGCUAGGGGAGCAAACGGGAUUAGAUACCCCGGUGGUCCUAGCCGUAAACGAUGGGCACUAAGUAGAGGGGU